CCUACGGGAGGCAGCAGUGGGGAAUUUUGGACAAUGGGCGCAAGCCUGAUCCAGCCAUGCCGCGUGUGGGAAGAAGGCCUUCGGGUUGUAAACCACUUUUGUCAGGGAAGAAACGGUCUGAACUAAUACUUUGGACUAAUGACGGUACCUGAAGAAUAAGCACCGGCUAACUACGUGCCAGCAGCCGCGGUAAUACGUAGGGUGCAAGCGUUAAUCGGAAUUACUGGGCGUAAAGCGUGCGCAGGCGGCUUUGCAAGACAGAUGUGAAAUCCCCGGGCUCAACCUGGGAACUGCAUUUGUGACUGCAUGGCUAGAGUACGGUAGAGGGGGAUGGAAUUCCGCGUGUAGCAGUGAAAUGCGUAGAUAUGCGGAGGAACACCGAUGGCGAAGGCAAUCCCCUGGACCUGUACUGACGCUCAUGCACGAAAGCGUGGGGAGCAAACAGGAUUAGAUACCCUGGUAGUCCACGCCCUAAACGAUGUCAACUGGUUGUUGGGAGGGUUUCUUCUCAGUACGAGCUACGCGUGAGUGACCGCCGNGGGAGGUACGGUCCGGCGAGUUAGUUAACGUACGAAGUUAGUAGUUGACGGCGUGAGACGNGCGACGGACGACGACGAGGGAGGAGG
This 626-nucleotide ribosomal RNA is filed under the name uncultured bacterium. RNAcentral describes it as "bacterial SSU rRNA". The stretch from base 1 to 537 matches the Rfam family "Bacterial small subunit ribosomal RNA", at positions 338 to 873 of the family's 1533-position model. The record is from RNAcentral.